GCGUGAAGUUGGAAUUGCCAGUAAUCGCGGAUCAGCAUGCCGCCGGUGAAUACGUUCCCGGGCCUUGUACACACCGCCCGUCACACCAUGGGAGCCGGUAAUACCCGAAGUCAGUAGUCUAACCGCAAGGGGGGCGCUGCCGAAGGUAGGAUUGGCGACUGGGGUGAAGUCGUAACAAGGUAAC
Molecule: ribosomal RNA, 184 nt
Filed under: uncultured bacterium
Lineage: Bacteria
Description: partial 16S ribosomal RNA
Rfam family: Bacterial small subunit ribosomal RNA
Source: RNAcentral